GACGAACGCUGGCGGCGUGCCUAAUACAUGCAAGUAGAACGCUGAAGGAGGAGCUUGCUUCUCUGGAUGAGUUGCGAACGGGUGAGUAACGCGUAGGUAACCUGCCUGGUAGCGGGGGAUAACUAUUGGAAACGAUAGCUAAUACCGCAUAAUAGCAGUUGUUGCAUGACAACUGUUUGAAAGGUGCAAUUGCACCACUACCAGACGGACCUGCGUUGUAUUAGCUAGUUGGUGGGGUAACGGCUCACCAAGGCGGCGUUACAUAGCCGACCUGUGAGGGGGAGCGGCCGACCUGGGACUGUGACACGGCCCAGACGCCUGCGGGAGGGAGCAGUAGGGAAUCUUCGGCGAUGGGCGGAAGUCUGACCAAGCAACGCCGCGGGAGUGAAGAAGGUUUUCGGAUCGUAAAGCUCUGUUGUAAGAGGAGAACGAGUGUGAGAGUGGAAAGUACACACUGUGACGGUAUCUGAGCAGAAAGGGACGGCUAACUACGUG
Molecule: ribosomal RNA, 495 nt
Filed under: uncultured bacterium
Lineage: Bacteria
Description: partial 16S ribosomal RNA
Rfam family: Bacterial small subunit ribosomal RNA
Source: RNAcentral